Molecule: ribosomal RNA, 497 nt
Filed under: uncultured bacterium
Lineage: Bacteria
Description: bacterial SSU rRNA
Rfam family: Bacterial small subunit ribosomal RNA
Source: RNAcentral
ACUCAAAGGAAUUGACGGGGGCCCGCACAAGCAGCGGAGCAUGUGGUUUAAUUCGACGCAACGCGAAGAACCUUACCUGGGCUUGACAUGUGAGCGACAGGUGUGGAAACACAUCCUCCCUUCGGGGCGCUCUCACAGGUGGUGCAUGGCUGUCGUCAGCUCGUGUCGUGAGAUGUUGGGUUAAGUCCCGCAACGAGCGCAACCCCCGUCGCAUGUUGCCAGCAUUCAGUUGGGGACUCAUGCGAGACUGCCGGUGACAAACCGGAGGAAGGUGGGGAUGACGUCAAGUCAUCAUGCCCCUUAUGCUCAGGGCUACACACGUGCUACAGUGGCGCGUACAGAGGGCUGCGAUACCGUAAGGUGGAGCGAAUCCCUUAAAGCGCGUCCCGGUUCGGAUUGCAGGCUGAAACUCGCCUGCAUGAAGGCGGAGUUGCUAGUAAUCGCGGAUCAGCAAUGCCGCGGUGAAUACGUUCCCGGGCCUUGUACACACCGCCCGU